Molecule: ribosomal RNA, 445 nt
Filed under: uncultured bacterium
Lineage: Bacteria
Description: partial 16S ribosomal RNA
Rfam family: Bacterial small subunit ribosomal RNA
Source: RNAcentral
GUGAGGAAUAUUGGACAAUGGGCGCAAGCCUGAUCCAGCCAUGCCGCGUGCAGGAAGACGCAUCUAUGGUGUGUAAACUGCUUUUGUACGGGAAGAAACACUCCCUCGUGAGGGAGCUUGACGGUACCGUAAGAAUAAGGAUCGGCUAACUCCGUGCCAGCAGCCGCGGUAAUACGGAGGAUCCAAGCGUUAUCCGGAAUCAUUGGGUUUAAAGGGUCCGUAGGCGGUUUAAUAAGUCAGUGGUGAAAGCCCAUCGCUCAACGAUGGAACGGCCAUUGAUACUGUUAGACUUGAAUUACAAGGAAGUAACUAGAAUAUGUAGUGUAGCGGUGAAAUGCUUAGAUAUUACAUGGAAUACCAAUUGCGAAGGCAGGUUACUACUUGUGGAUUGACGCUGAUGGACGAAAGCGUGGGAAGCGAACAGGAUUAGAUACCCUGGUAGUCC